RNAcentral lists this unclassified non-coding RNA (296 nucleotides) under Basidiomycota sp. RNAcentral's name for it is "partial contains small subunit ribosomal RNA, internal transcribed spacer 1, and 5.8S ribosomal RNA". The stretch from base 1 to 47 matches the Rfam family "Eukaryotic small subunit ribosomal RNA", at positions 1785 to 1831 of the family's 1831-position model. Lineage: Eukaryota; Fungi; Basidiomycota. The record is from RNAcentral.
AAAGUCGUAACAAGGUUUCCGUAGGUGAACCUGCGGAAGGAUCAUUAACAAAACACCUUGGUAAAGUGAUAACUACUUAAUUGUGGUUAUUGCUGAUACCAAAAACCUUUGUGAAUAGGGUGUGUCGUAAGACAUGCUUAGAAGGGAUCUGAGGGGAUGUUGACUUAUUAUGAAAACUUUGUAAGAUUCUAGUAAUAAUAAGGUCAAUCAACAUCAAAAUAUUCUUGUAGUCUAAUUAUUGUUGUCGAAAGACAUUCAAAUUAAUACAACUUUUAACAAUGGAUCUCUUGGCUCUU